This 77-nucleotide transfer RNA is filed under the name Desulfobulbaceae bacterium A2. RNAcentral describes it as "tRNA-Pro". It matches the Rfam family "tRNA". From Rfam's summary of the family: Transfer RNA (tRNA) molecules are approximately 80 nucleotides in length. Their secondary structure includes four short double-helical elements and three loops (D, anti-codon, and T loops). Lineage: Bacteria; Pseudomonadati; Thermodesulfobacteriota; Desulfobulbia; Desulfobulbales; Desulfobulbaceae. The record is from RNAcentral.
CGGGGCGUGGCGCAGCCUGGCAGCGCGCCUGCCUUGGGAGCAGGAGGCCGUAGGUUCGAAUCCUACCGCCCCGACCA